AUUGAACGCUGGCGGCAUGCUUUACACAUGCAAGUCGAACGGUAACAGGCCGCAAGGUGCUGACGAGUGGCGAACGGGUGAGUAAUGCAUCGGAACGUGCCCAGUCGUGGGGGAUAACGCAGCGAAAGUUGCGCUAAUACCGCAUACGAUCUAUGGAUGAAAGCGGGGGACCGUAAGGCCUCGCGCGAUUGGAGCGGCCGAUGUCAGAUUAGGUAGUUGGUGGGGUAAAGGCUCACCAAGCCGACGAUCUGUAGCUGGUCUGAGAGGACGACCGGCCACACUGGGACUGAGACACGGCCCAGACUCCUACGGGAGGCAGCAGUGGGGAAUUUUGGACAAUGGGCGCAAGCCUGAUCCAGCAAUGCCGCGUGCAGGAAGAAGGCCUUCGGGUUGUAAACUGCUUUUGUACGGAACGAAACGGUCCUGGUUAAUACCCGGGGCUGAUGACGGUACCGUAAGAAUAAGCACCGGCUAACUACGUGCCAGCCGCCGCUGUAA
This 498-nucleotide ribosomal RNA is filed under the name uncultured bacterium. RNAcentral's name for it is "partial 16S ribosomal RNA". It matches the Rfam family "Bacterial small subunit ribosomal RNA", at positions 30 to 523 of the family's 1533-position model. The record is from RNAcentral.